CUUUCUUCUCUCCCCACAGGGGACAGGCAGGAGUUGAAGUGGAUCCAGGUCCGGGCCGGGGACUGUCCCAGGAGGAGCUGGGGGGCUGGGAUGCUGCGGGGCCCCCCCCACCGCUGGGUGGCGACAUGGAGACAGGACAGAGUGCCCCCCGAGAGAAGGAAACACAGCACAGGAGGCAACGCUGAUGACGUCACCACCUCGGUGCUCGACCCUGAAGGGACCCAAGUGUCUGAGGAAGAGGGCUGGGCGACCCCCCAGAGCACCUCAUCUUCGGAAACCUGGCAAUCCUCCUCCCCCGACCGCCCCCACGUGGACAGCUCUGGCUGCGGGGUUCCUUGCUCCCCUGGCCCUGCGGACCCAGGCAUCCGGGCGGGGCUCACCGAGCCCUGCACCAGGCCUGAGUGCGAGAGGAUGCGGCAAGAGCUGGAGGCGCUGAGGGACCGAUACGCCAAGGUGGAGGCUCAGAACGCUGUGCUGGCCCAGAAACUCGGGGGCGAUGUGGAGCCGCCCAGGGAGACAGAGAGUGAGUCCAUGCGGCCGGAGCCUGGGCUUUAUGAGGACCCUGCACUACCUCGGAAAUAUGGGAUGCAGGAGCUGGUGCCGGGAGGGGGCGUGUUCCUCUACCCCGCCCAGCUGGCCCUGGCCCGCUCCAGCGCCCGCAGCCAGACAGCCCUGGCCCGUCUCCUGCUCGACGUCUUCUUCUCCCGCCAGGAGCAGGCACGGAGCAACCUGUCCGGGGAGAACGGGCUGCGCCGCCUCAGCCCCCCCGUCGUCAGCGCCAUCGUGGGUGAGUCCGGGGCGGUCAGGCAAUGGUAUGGCCCUGGGAGGCGGGGACAGGCAAUAGU
Molecule: long non-coding RNA, 845 nt
Filed under: Gopherus agassizii (Agassiz's desert tortoise)
Lineage: Eukaryota; Metazoa; Chordata; Testudines; Testudinidae
Description: lncRNA (ENSGAGG00000012461.1)
Source: RNAcentral